CCCGCCUUAACUCAGUUGGUAGAGUGCGCGGCUGUAGUGCGCAGCUACCGCGAUGUCCCCGGUUCAAAUCCGGGAGGCGGGA
RNAcentral lists this transfer RNA (82 nucleotides) under Methanoregulaceae archaeon. RNAcentral's name for it is "tRNA-Tyr". It matches the Rfam family "tRNA". From Rfam's summary of the family: Transfer RNA (tRNA) molecules are approximately 80 nucleotides in length. Their secondary structure includes four short double-helical elements and three loops (D, anti-codon, and T loops). Lineage: Archaea; Methanobacteriati; Methanobacteriota; Methanomicrobia; Methanomicrobiales; Methanoregulaceae. The record is from RNAcentral.